CCCAGCUGUAGACAACUACCUAGGUUGUCCUGUACCUAGGCAAGUGUUACACUGUUGGGAGAAGAGCAGCCAACAGCUGAUGGGUAUUCUGCAUCUGCUAAUGCCAAAUU
Molecule: small nucleolar RNA, 110 nt
Organism: Ochotona princeps (American pika)
Lineage: Eukaryota; Metazoa; Chordata; Mammalia; Lagomorpha; Ochotonidae
Gene: SNORA74
Rfam family: Small nucleolar RNA SNORA74
About the family: U19 belongs to the H/ACA class of snoRNAs. snoRNAs bind a number of proteins (including dyskerin, Gar1p and Nop10p in the case of the H/ACA class) to form snoRNP complexes. This class are thought to guide the sites of modification of uridines to pseudouridines by forming direct base pairing interactions with substrate RNAs.
Source: Ensembl